Molecule: ribosomal RNA, 501 nt
Filed under: uncultured bacterium
Lineage: Bacteria
Description: partial 16S ribosomal RNA
Rfam family: Bacterial small subunit ribosomal RNA
Source: RNAcentral
AUUGAACGCUGGCGGCAGGCUUAACACAUGCAAGUCGAGCGGGGGAAGGUAGCUUGCUACCGGACCUAGCGGCGGACGGGUGAGUAAUGCUUAGGAAUCUGCCUAUUAGUGGGGGACAACAUCUCGAAAGGGAUGCUAAUACCGCAUACGUCCUACGGGAGAAAGCAGGGGAUCUUCGGACCUUGCGCUAAUAGAUGAGCCUAGGUCGGAUUAGCUAGUUGGUGGGGUAAAGGCCUACCAAGGCGACGAUCUGUAGCGGGUCUGAGAGGAUGAUCCGCCACACUGGGACUGAGACACGGCCCAGACUCCUACGGGAGGCAGCAGUGGGGAAUAUUGGACAAUGGGGGGAACCCUGAUCCAGCCAUGCCGCGUGUGUGAAGAAGGCCUUAUGGUUGUAAAGCACUUUAAGCGAGGAGGAGGCUACUAUAGUUAAUACCUAGAGAUAGUGGACGUUACUCGCAGAAUAAGCACCGGCUAACUCUGUGCCAGCAGCCGCAGUAA